Long non-coding RNA from Ictalurus furcatus (blue catfish), 1322 nucleotides. RefSeq lists it as uncharacterized. The transcript has 3 exons. NCBI's taxonomy places the organism in Eukaryota, Metazoa, Chordata, Actinopteri, Siluriformes, Ictaluridae. The record is from RefSeq and is a predicted model, not a curated record.
CUAUGAAAGAGGAACUCUUAAUGGUACCAUUGCAGUGACAGGAAGAACCACAGUUCAGUGCCUUUAUUUGCAUCCUGCUGUGUUGUGAAGCCGCGCUGAACUCGCGCAUGCGCGCGGAACUUGAGUCGGUGUUAAACUUCACGUGAGACUCUGAAAAUUAACAUGACGGUAUAUUUCACUCACCCGUGAUGGUCUCCGUUAACUUCACCUGCGCGUGCGGUCAACCCGAAAUUAAUAAAUAAAUAAGAGAUGCGCUGCCCUGGAGACCCCACGCGCCGACCAAUCAGCAAUUGUUAAGCGUCAUGACGUCAAAGCGAGGAUGGUUUGUAAAGAUAUACUGGAGACACUGAGAAUGGCACACAGUCUCGAGAGCAGCAGACAUCAGGAGAAUCUCUAAGCCCAGAAGAUCUCCAUCAGCUCCUCCAGUGGACGCUCCAGAGUAUCCAUGAAGGAAUGGAAGGGCAUGUUGAUGAUGUAAAUGAGGAUGUGACUGGUCUUUAUAGGCUACCGAAGACAGAGAGAGGUCGAGGGGGCGUUCAUUUAAAAAUAUCUGGCUUUAAAUGAUUCGGUGGUGUUAUCAGAUACGUAAGGAUUUUUUUUUUUAGGGCGAACUCACAUUUCAGUUCAGCUGGUUGUAUUUCUUCUGUGCCUUUAUGCACUUUCACAUACAGUAUAUUCACUCAUGAUAUUAUGUAGAAGAUUUAUAUUAUCACAUACACACAAAGUGUUUUGGAUAUGAGGAGGUAAACAGUGUGUAUGUAUAACUUUUCUCUUUAUUUGCUUGAACACAGGAAAAGAACAGGUUUGUGUUACCAAAUUAAAAUUAUUAUUAUUAUUAUUAUUAUUAUUAUUAUUAUUGCUGCUAGUAUUAUACAAAUGAUACUAAGAAAAUGGUUUUGUCUUGUUGUUUAAAGUUAAAUUUAACAACAACAGAAGAUUCUUAGCACAUUGGCAAAGCUACAGUUUACUCAGGUGUAGUAUUUUAAACCAUUCAGUAUGUAGUGAACUCAGUGUGUGAAAUACGGGGGUCCUUAAGCGUUUUAAUUACAUUCAGUAUAUUACUGGAUUUUACAGAAGGACAUAAAUGUAGUGCACACGUUUACAAUCUGUAAUGCUAAGUUUAACCAUUUAUGUUCUUCUAUACAAGCGUUCACUUCCUGUCAUUACUGUGGAUUAUAAACAUGGUCCAAUAGCUAAUUAGGUGAAAGCAAUACAUGAGGCACUGAUUAGAACAUUUUAGAGUGCAUUUUCACAUCUGUGCUCCACCUUUCUGAUCUAAAACCCAAGCUGAAAUAUUCAUUGUUUUGUCUCUCACUGCUUUU